Molecule: long non-coding RNA, 4859 nt
Organism: Lycium barbarum (goji berry)
Lineage: Eukaryota; Viridiplantae; Streptophyta; Magnoliopsida; Solanales; Solanaceae
Exons: 2
Source: RefSeq, a predicted model, not a curated record
CUUAGUGGUCGUUUGGUUUAAGGUAUAACAUGGGUUAUACCGGUACUAAUUUUUAUACCACGUUUGGUAUAAGGUAUAGAUUUAUCCCGGGAUUAUUUUAUACCUUGUACCAAACGUGGUAUAAAAAUUAGUGCUGGAAUAACUCAACUUAUACCUUCUUAACCCACUUAUACUGGUAUUAUUUUAUACCAUCUUUCAGAUGGUAUAAAAUAAUACCAACAGAUGGUAUAAAUUAAUCCCGGGAUUGUAAUCCCGGGACUAUUUUAACCUCAAACCAAACGACCACUUAGGGUUCUAUUUGCAAACAUAAGAGAGGAGAGGCGGCUAGGGUGAAACACUAGCGCCGCCUCAUGUUUUCCACCACCUACCCCACCUUUUCUCGGUCCCGUCCCAUCGCUAUUCACUAGUGGCGUGAAGAGAGAAGGCGAAGCCAUUACUGCUUUGUCCUUCUCUCCACGAAAUCAGGCCAAACUUCCCCUAAAGCCCUCAAAUCCUUUCUUGGUUCAAGGCUGCACACAAAAAAGGUAAACCUUGAUAUACUUAUUGAUUUUUAGUCUUUAAUUUCUGCUUUAGUUAAAUUUUUAGAUUAUUUCCGCUAUUUUUGGUAGUAGUUACGUAUUUUCUUUGUUGUUCUUGUUUAUAUAUUUGAUGUUUGAGAGCUGUUAGGAUAGGAUAUUAAUCGCUAAAUGAUUAGGAUUGAUAAUGCUUUACUAGUAGAGAUGUUGAAUUUCUCUUUAAUGCUUUGAAAAAAAAUUGGACAUAUGGUUCAAUGGACUAUUUAAUUGCCUUUAGUUGAUUUAGAAAUAAGGUUGUAUUGAUGUCAUUUAGUCUUUAACCUGUUUGCCUAUUUGAUUUGCAUUUGCAAUGUGAAGCUUAUGUGGAAUCAUGGGGGUGGGGUGCAAAUCUGUCUCACUAAUGCAUCAAUAUGGUUAAAAUGCUGGAUUUGGUUUGUUAUAUCUCAUUUUAUAGUGAAGAAACUAAGUGUGAAUAUAGUUGUUACUCCUAGUCCUCUCUUCUUUGCUUAGUUAUAAAAUUUGGGUCCGUCUAUAAGAAUCAAACCUGGUAUAAAUUGUAAGCCUAGCCCUGAAAUGAUAAGAUAAGGUCUAUGUUCUUACUCAGUUAUAGCUCUCUAGUUCUGAAUAUCAUGUAUGCCUUUGUUUCUAUUGUGCUUGGAUUGGUACCUAAUUCUGUUUCUGUGGCUCAUUGAUCAAUUGAUCAUGUUUGACCUUUCUCAGAGCUUGGUUAGUGCCAAUGUGACCAUAUCAUGCCUUUAUCUGGUCCUUGUGCUUGAAAAUAAUUGCUAUAACAAACCAAAAUGCACCAUGCCUAGAUAAUGCACUUUUUCCUGAACUUGCCAAACUUUCAAAUACCUAAAUACUGAUGUCUUGUCCCUUAAAUUGCUAUGGUUUUCCUGCUUUGUUUCCAGAAAGUAUGAUGGAUGUCUUUCCCCCUGUAGUCUCUAGGUUGUGUGUGCUGCAUCUUUCCUGUCUUGAACUAUUGGUGCCCUUGUUGCUCAUGUAAAGAUAUGAAACAUAUAAGCCUUCACAUGCUUGGUAGUAUCUGGAAACCUUAUAUCAUGCGCAGGUUCAAGUUGUUGUAUGUUUGCCCUUCUAUGAUGGUUUCCUUAAUUUGGUGCAUAGUCUUGCAUAGGCCAUGGAACUGGUUCUGUCCCUCCAAGGUCUAGGUAGCAUGACACUUAGUCUCUUAACCUUGCUGAUCAUUACUGUCAAAUGUCUUUAUUAUGCUUGCUUGAUCUUGUCCCUUUGGUGAUUGAUUGUUGACUGAACCUGUAUAUGCUUGCCAUUUAUGAAUACCCUUAAAAAACAAAAUCUAUACCCAUCUAUGCUUUUCACUUGGGAUUAACUUACUGCAGAAUCAUUAUGUGACUUGAGUUGUUCUUUUCCCUCAUUGUGUUUUCCUAAGUCUUACUUGCCUUACCACUCACUUACUUGACUAAGUAGCAUUGAUCCCACUUGCCUAUUCUGCUGAGUUUUAACUGGACCAUUUGCAUUCAUACUUGCUUGGUUUUGCUAUGACCAUUAUAUCUGAAUGUUUUUCUCUGCCUUUUGUUUUGAAUGCUUACUUUCACUUAAUUUGCCUUUGUGCCUUGUAUGAUCAAUUGGUCCAGUGUCCUGAUUAUUGGGUUACUUGUCUUGGAACUUUGGGACCUUAUACUCAUGCUGUCAAGGCCCUGCACCAUGUGUUCCAAAAUGCUUUCCUGUUUUCUCUGUUCAUUUGCUCUUCUUGCGCACAUGUAUAUCCCUUCCCCAUUUCCCUUAUCUGCAAAUUAACCUUGUGUAUGAGUAUGCCCAGUGACCUUAGGCACACAUUAAUGAUACUAUAAUUGACUCACCUUGUGACUUAUGUGCCUUGGAUGACUGAUAUGGUUUGCUUUUUUCAAAUUCCUGCCUGCUACCUGCACUUGACCAUGCAUCCUAUACUUGGAGUUGACUUUUGCAUUGCCUUUCAUGCCUCUCUUGAACUUAUAACCUUGGCUGAAAUGCCAUUAUUGACAUUAAAUCCUUGAUAAGUCUGUUGUUGUGCCUUCCCAUUUGACCAUCCCUGAGAUGCCACGAUAUAGCUAUCAUCCUAUAGCACUCAUUUGCUUUUCUUCAACUUGUUUGAGUCUAUGAUCAUGGUUGAUGUUCAUGCUCCUCUGAAUAAUUUUAAGCAUGCCUCUUUCAUUUUAGUGUGCAUACUUGACAUAUCUGCCUAAGUCUAGUUGUAUUUGGCUUAACUGAUUGGGGUUAACUACCACUUGCUGAAUAUGAGAAUGCUUCUCUUUGAAUUAAGCCUGUCAUUGAGUUUUAAGGUGCACCUUUACCCAUCAUAUUUGUUCUCUGAUCACAUGUAUCUACUGCCUACACUUUCUUUUUACUAUUCAAUGUUACCUGCUCUUGCUGUAACUCUAAGUCCACCCAUGAGAUGGUCAUUUUCUGGUUUGCCUUUGCUUGUCCUUAGUAACUGCCUAUUUCUUCCCUUUUGCCUUGCUUACAGCUGCUGUUACUGCUUGUCUUUGCCCCUUCAAAGAAGUUGUGUGUUUGAUUUAUUAUUACUGUUUUGUGUCAUUAAGGUCUUCUAUAAUAUGAACUUCAUGUGUAUGUACUUGUAUAUUGUCUCUUGUGAUUGCUUACUCUUCCCUGUAACUAUGCGAAAAUUGUACCAACCCUCAGCAUGAUUACUUGUAUAUUUAAGUGAUCUCCUGGUUCUGUACUCUCUCUGUCCUUUCAAAUGAUAUUCAAAUAGAUCUAGGACCAAGUGUGGUAAUUCGGGGUUGUCUUAAUCUCCCCACUGUUAGCCAUGGCUGGGGUCCUUUGAAGCCCCUUGGAACUUGUGCGACAUCGAGAAUACGGGAUUAAGACCUAGUCCCCAUGCCAUUCGAAGUCUUAGGAUAAUUAGAGCACCAUUUGUAUAGGCAAAGGGGUAAGUAUGGAUCAAGUGUGAUUAACUUAUAUAUAUAUAUAUAUAUAUAUAUGUGUGUGUGUGUGUGUGUGUGUGUGUGUGUGUGUGUGUGAUUUAUCUUAUAUACAUGUGUGUGUGUUUAUAACUUUUGUCAUUUACCUUAGUGAUAAGUUCAGCGAUUAUAAACUAACUGGUGUUUUUUUUUUUCUUCCUUCCUCCUCCUCCUCGUACGUGGCCACUCGGGUCAAAAAUGCAUAAACCCCCCAUUGGGCUAAAGGCCCAAAUGGGAAUAUCGCUUCAAAAAAUAGAGUCCGAGAAAACAAAGAAGAAUAGUGAGGCGUGCAGAAGGCCCAGCCAUGGGUGAAAAUGGCCAACUAAGGGCUUGGUACGCUCCUAGUCUAACUUAGCUCCUUUAAAUUUACUGUAUUUAUUAUUGCAUUUGUAUUUGAAACUUGUAUUCAAAACUCAUAAUAUAGUGGAAACCUUAUGAUUGGAACUAGACAUCUUAGGACAACGGUUCUUAUGCCGUUUAGUCGACUUUAGGUCCCCGUACGCGAUUUUCAAAACCACAAACUCAAACAUAAUGCUUUUUUUAUAACUAAGUACAAAAAUGAGACCUCUCAAAACUGCUUUCAAAUAAAUCACUAUUGAUUUUAUCUAAGUUUAAACGGUAAUCACAUUUUUAUAUAAUAAAGGUAUUUCACAAAAAAUAAGUUGACUAACUUAUUUCCUGCUCCAAAUUGAAUUUCCCAAAAUCAGCUUUAAAUAGACAGACUUAACGCAAUUGGCUUUAACCUAUAUAACUUCAUUGAUAAGUGGCAAAUCUUUGUCAACAUAUUGGACCAGUUUUAAACUUAAACAGAAACCAAAUUUUUUUAACCAAGUUAUAAAACCUGUUUCUGGAAAAUGGAGGCAAAUGAAGGAUUCUUAAACACAAAACACUGUUUUGGCCCAAAGCAGGCCCAAAUUAACUGAUAUUUACGGACAAGGUAUACUCAUUCUAAAUAUAAAAACACUCUUAUAAACGUAUAAAGAACCUACGCGUAUUAUAAAGUUCCGGAUAAGACUGAAACGCACCAAUACGAGUCAACCCGAGCCCCGAUGUAUGAGUAUAAAAUAAACAACUUAUAAAAUAACAUUUCUUUUUCACUUCUUUUAAAAACUUAUACUUAUUCCUUUCAUAUAAAAGGAAACUACUUAUACUCGGAUAUAAUAAAUCCCAAACUACGAUACCCUAUAAAUAAAGGGGAUAUAUACAAAUUCCUCCAAAAAAUAUGAUAUGCAAAAAACUAUCUAUGACAGUUCUUUUUUAUGAGAACAUAAACACAAAAUAAGCAGUUUAAGCAAAUACUCAUACACUGAAAUUCGAAGGUCAACCGUAUAGUACGGAUCCUUAAUACUGGGGUGCCUAACACCUUUCCCUGGGGAUCAUCCGAACUCUUACCUAGAAUUUUGGA